RNAcentral lists this unclassified non-coding RNA (240 nucleotides) under soil metagenome. RNAcentral's name for it is "partial contains 5.8S ribosomal RNA, internal transcribed spacer 2, and large subunit ribosomal RNA". The record is from RNAcentral.
AACCAUAGAAACCUGCGGAGUACCUGCGGAGGGAUCAUUAUAGUAUAUGGAAUCUCCAUUCUAUAAACCCACUCUGCGUAUCUUGUAACUGUUGCUUCCAUGGGACUUGGUUCCGCCACACCGGCUUCACGGCUGGUGAGCGCCCAUGGAAGGAGAAACAAAGCUCUUCUUUGAAAUGUAGUCAGUCUGAACAAGUUUUUAUAAACGUUAAAACUUUUAGCAAUGGAUCUCAGAUCGGAA